UAGCAACAGGAGCCAAACUCUGUGCUCAGGCGGUUUGCUGUAAACUUUUCUCAGUUUUCAGUCUUUGAGGUCACAUUAUAGGAUGAGUGGUGGACGGGCUUCAGAGGGCGCUGGCUGCAUCACCUGGUGGGGCUUCAGUCCUGCGCGCGACCUGCUGAGUACGGGCCCCGAGAGACGUGAAAGCAAUGUCAACAUUUUAUUGGUUGGCAGUGGAGAUCCACGACAUAUUUUGAAGACCAUUUCUAGUUUGCGGGAUGAAGAAAGUCUUCACGUGUGGGUGAUAGAAAAUAGCAUGGAGUUGGUGGCGAGACAGCUGUUGCUCCUCUACCUGGCGCUGAUGCCAAAGGAAAGCAUGGGAACGAAUGAGAAGACAGAGGUGUUCCUGGAGGUGUUUGGGAACGGUGAGAUCCGCAGUCAGACAGAGGAGACGCUGAGACACGCAGCAUCGCAGCUCUCUCUGGCUGUUACCGAAACACUGGAGACAGCCACGCACCCCUGUCUGAACACGACUCUUCUCAAGUUCAAGGAGCGAGAUGAGCUGGCCAGGAUAUUCAAGCUGUGGAUCCAGCCACGGCCUUCAUCGUCUUCAUCUACUUGUGCUGCUCCUAUCUUAAUGUCCAAAGUCUGGGAUUAUCGAGUCAGGCAGCACCUUGGUACAUGCUAUGACUAUAAGAAGGAGCGCUUCGACUGGGACCUUAUAAUGAAACUGCACGAGAAAGGGUGUGGCGUCAUCAACAAACAGCAAUAUGCACGAUGGAGGGAAUGGGGUUUGGCGUUUGAAAUGAGGGAAGGUGCCUACCAAAUAACCAAUCAAAGUUUGCUGUCUUCAAGAGUGUUCAGUCAGAGAGGGGACAAAGUGGCUGUCAGAGGCUACUGGGGAGACAUUGUUUCCAGCCCUUACCUCUCCUUUGGCAUCGAAACUGAUGACAAGAGCCUGCUGAAGACACAGAAUGGGCAACACAUAAAGACGGCCCAGGAUAUCUCCAUUGCAAAUGUCCAGGAACUGUUCCAGUCGCUGUCCAGUAGACGGGGCUGCCCCACCACUUCUCAGUCAGUCGCAGAGACAGGGGAGCCGUCCCCGUCCCCAGAGGCUGACCCAAAAUCUGUCACCAUUAACGAUUUGAUGCGUCUGAGUGGAGUCUCUGUGACCUUCCUGCCUAUGGACUCGCUUAACAAACUGCCAGAAAAACAGAAAUACUCCCACUUCUUCAACACCAUCUAUUUCUCUGCCAGCUGCGCGCACCAGUUGGGCCCGACGAUGAGACAGAUUGCAGCACCAGACGCUGUGCUUGUCGUGGAGUUGGCCAAGUACAUUUUGGAUCUGAAUAAAGAGCAAGAAGCAGGCUUUGCAAAGAAAGUGGCGAGCAUGGCUCUGGAGGCUGGAUUUGAGCCGUGGCGUGAGGGGCAGAGUGAUGACGUUCAUGCUGUUUUCAUACCACAGAGGAAGUAAAGGUGGUUAAUUUCUGCACCCUUUCUCAGCAGCUUCACCUUCACAGUGUGCAACAGAAUGACAGUCAAGCCCUCACACGCUGCUGCUCAGCUCUUUCUGCCCGGCGGCUCUCCUGUAACACAAAAACCAUACUGACUGGACUUAAACACA
RNA transcript from Epinephelus fuscoguttatus (brown-marbled grouper), 1600 nucleotides. It is a transcript of the gene named dynein axonemal assembly factor 3-like, with no coding region annotated. NCBI's taxonomy places the organism in Eukaryota, Metazoa, Chordata, Actinopteri, Perciformes, Serranidae. The record is from RefSeq and is a predicted model, not a curated record. The transcript has 13 exons.